RNAcentral lists this ribosomal RNA (395 nucleotides) under uncultured Polaribacter sp. Its description in RNAcentral is "bacterial SSU rRNA". It matches the Rfam family "Bacterial small subunit ribosomal RNA", at positions 103 to 496 of the family's 1533-position model. Lineage: Bacteria; Pseudomonadati; Bacteroidota; Flavobacteriia; Flavobacteriales; Flavobacteriaceae. The record is from RNAcentral.
CGGGUGCGUAACGCGUAUAGAACCUACCUUUUACAGAGGAAUAGCCUUUAGAAAUGAAGAUUAAUGCCUCAUAGUAUUGAGUAUUCGCAUGAAUAUUUAAUUAAAGAUUUAUCGGUAAAAGAUGGCUAUGCGUCCUAUUAGUUAGUUGGUAAGGUAACGGCUUACCAAGACAGCGAUAGGUAGGGGUCCUGAGAGGGAGAUCCCCCACACUGGUACUGAGACACGGACCAGACUCCUACGGGAGGCAGCAGUGAGGAAUAUUGGACAAUGGAGGAGACUCUGAUCCAGCCAUGCCGCGUGUAGGAAGAAUGCCCUAUGGGUUGUAAACUACUUUUAUACAGGAAGAAACACUGGUAUGUAUACCAGCUUGACGGUACUGUAAGAAUAAGGACCGG